RNAcentral lists this ribosomal RNA (560 nucleotides) under Pseudopaludicola murundu. RNAcentral describes it as "partial 16S ribosomal RNA". It matches the Rfam family "Bacterial large subunit ribosomal RNA", at positions 1797 to 2571 of the family's 2925-position model. The record is from RNAcentral. Lineage: Eukaryota; Metazoa; Chordata; Amphibia; Anura; Leptodactylidae.
CGCCUGUUUAUCAAAAACAUCGCCUCUUGCACAACCAUAAGAGGUCCAGCCUGCCCAGUGACUCUGUUCAACGGCCGCGGUAUCCUAACCGUGCGAAGGUAGCGCAAUCACCUGUUCUUUAAAUAAGGACUAGUAUGAAUGGCAUCACGAGGGUUAUACUGUCUCCUUUUUCUAAUCAGUGAAACUAAUCUUCCCGUGAAGAAGCGGGGAUAAUAAUAUAAGACGAGAAGACCCUAUGGAGCUUUAAACUAAGUAACAAAUAUCUUUUAUUUAUAAUUUCAAGAACAAUCAAAAUUAAUCAGAUAUUAUGAUUACCAGUUUUAGGUUGGGGUGACCAUGGAGUACAAUUCAACCUCCAUGCUGAAAUGAUUUUAAAUUUAAGCCACGAACAACAUUUCUAAGCAUCAACAUCUUGACAUCUAUUGACCCAAUUUUUGAUCAACGAACCAAGUUACCCUAGGGAUAACAGCGCAAUCCACUUCAAGAGCUCAUAUCGACAAGUGGGUUUACGACCUCGAUGUUGGAUCAGGGUAUCCUAGUGGUGCAGCCGCUACUAAAGG